AAAUUCUUAUGCAAAUAAGAAUGAAAUUAUCAAUCUUUUACUGUGAAGAAACUUGAGUGUUCAAAGCAAGCUUUUAAAAUUCCGCUUGAAAAAUUCAGCAUGGGAUAAUGAAAUAAGCUAAAAAACGUAACCAUUUUUCGCCGAUUUUCGGUUUUAGAAAGCGUUUAAGAAUGAUUGAUAGGGGCGGUCGAGGGCACUCGUACCCAGAGGUCAGAGGUGAAAUUCUUGGAUUCUCGGGAGACGAACUUAUGCGAAGGCGUUUGCCAAGGACGCUUUCUUUGAUCAAGAACGAAAGUUAGGGGAUCGAAGACGAUCAGAUACCGUCGUAGUCUUAACCUUAAACGAUGCCGACUGUAGAUUAGAAGACGUUAAUACAUUCUCGAACGUUAAAAUUACGAGAAAAAACUAGACUCCUCUAGCAUACUGUGAGAAAUCACAAGUGUUUGGGUUCCGGGGG
This 457-nucleotide ribosomal RNA is filed under the name uncultured eukaryote. Its description in RNAcentral is "bacterial SSU rRNA". It matches the Rfam family "Eukaryotic small subunit ribosomal RNA", at positions 715 to 1120 of the family's 1831-position model. The record is from RNAcentral.